Molecule: unclassified non-coding RNA, 250 nt
Filed under: plant metagenome
Description: partial contains small subunit ribosomal RNA, internal transcribed spacer 1, and 5.8S ribosomal RNA
Rfam family: 5.8S ribosomal RNA (bases 203-250)
Source: RNAcentral
GUAGGUGAACCUGCGGAAGGAUCAUUAUCGAGUUAGGGUCCUCUGGGCCCCACCUCCAACCCUUGUCUAUUCUACCACGUUGCUUUGGCGGGCCCGUCCUUGUCCGGACCGCCGGGGAUUCACGUCCCUGGCCCGCGCCCGUCAGCAGCCCCCCCCCAAACUUCUCUGAAUCGUGAUGUCUAAGCAAACUAUAAUAACGAAAAACUUUCAACAACGGAUCUCUUGGUUCUGGCAUCGAUGAAGAACGCAG